AACGAACGCUGGCGGCAGGCCUAACACAUGCAAGUCGAGCGAGCAUUUCGGUGCUAGCGGCGGACGGGUGAGUAACGCGUGGGAACGUGCCCUUUUCUGCGGAAUAGUCCGGGGAAACUGGGGGUAAUACCGCAUACGCCCUUUAGGGGAAAGAUUUAUCGGAGAAGGAUCGGCCCGCGUUGGAUUAGGUAGUUGGUGGGGUAAUGGCCCACCAAGCCGACGAUCCAUAGCUGGUUUGAGAGGAUGAUCAGCCACGCUGGGACUGAGACACGGCCCAGACUCCGACGGGAGGCAGCAGUGGGGAAUCUUAGACAAUGGGGGCAACCCUGAUCUAGCCAUGCCGCGUGAGUGAUGAAGGCCUUAGGGUUGUAAAGCUCUGUCAGCUGGGAAGAUAAUGACGGUACCAGCAGAAGAAGCCCCGGCUAACUCCGUG
This 433-nucleotide ribosomal RNA is filed under the name uncultured bacterium. Its description in RNAcentral is "partial 16S ribosomal RNA". It matches the Rfam family "Bacterial small subunit ribosomal RNA", at positions 29 to 507 of the family's 1533-position model. The record is from RNAcentral.